This 429-nucleotide ribosomal RNA is filed under the name Chloroflexota bacterium. RNAcentral describes it as "Chloroflexi bacterium partial 16S ribosomal RNA". It matches the Rfam family "Bacterial small subunit ribosomal RNA", at positions 355 to 776 of the family's 1533-position model. Lineage: Bacteria; Bacillati; Chloroflexota. The record is from RNAcentral.
UGGGGAAUAUUGCACAAUGGGCGCAAGCCUGAUGCAGCCAUGCCGCGUGUAUGAAGAAGGCCUUCGGGUUGUAAAGUACUUUCAGCGGGGAGGAAGGGAGUAAAGUUAAUACCUUUGCUCAUUGACGUUACCCGCAGAAGAAGCACCGGCUAACUCCGUGCCAGCAGCCGCGGUAAUACGGAGGGUGCAAGCGUUAAUCGGAAUUACUGGGCGUAAAGCGCACGCAGGCGGUUUGUUAAGUCAGAUGUGAAAUCCCCGGGCUCAACCUGGGAACUGCAUCUGAUACUGGCAAGCUUGAGUCUCGUAGAGGGGGGUAGAAUUCCAGGUGUAGCGGUGAAAUGCGUAGAGAUCUGGAGGAAUACCGGUGGCGAAGGCGGCCCCCUGUACAAAGACUGACGCUCAGGUGCGAAAGCGUGGGGAGCAAACAGG